AGCAGCCGCGGUAAUUCCAGCUCCAAUAGCGUAUAUUAAAGUUGUUGCAGUUAAAAAAGCUCGUAGUUGAAUUUCGGGGUUAGUAGGUUGGUCGUGCCUCAGGUAUGCACUGAUCUCACUGAUUCCUCCUUCCUGAUGAACCGUAAUGCCAUUAAUUUGGUGUUGCGGGGAAACUGGACUGUUACUUUGAAAAAAUUAGAGUGUUUAAAGCAGGCUAACGCUUGAAUACAUUAGCAUGGAAUAAUGAAAUAGGACGUUCGAUCCUAUUUUGUUGGUUUCUAGGAUUGACGUAAUGAUUAAUAGGGAUAGUUGGGGGCAUUAGUAUUCAAUUGUCAGAGGUGAAAUUCUUGGAUUUAUUGAAGACUAACUACUGCGAAAGCAUUUGCCAAGGAUGUUUUCAUUAAUCAAGAACGAAAGUUAGGGGAUCGAAGACGAUCAGAUACCGUCGUAGUCUUAACCAUAAACUAUGCCGACUAGGGAUCGGAUGAUGUUAAUUUUUAAUUGACUCAUUCGGCGUCCC
RNAcentral lists this ribosomal RNA (520 nucleotides) under uncultured Glomus. Its description in RNAcentral is "SSU rRNA". It matches the Rfam family "Eukaryotic small subunit ribosomal RNA", at positions 569 to 1089 of the family's 1831-position model. The record is from RNAcentral. Lineage: Eukaryota; Fungi; Glomeromycota; Glomeromycetes; Glomerales; Glomeraceae.